CCUACGGGAGACAGCAGUGGGGGAUAUUGCACAAUGGGGGAAACCCUGAUGCAGCGACGCCGCGUGGGUGAAGAAGUAUUUCGGUAUGUAAAGCCCUGUCAGCAGGGAAGAAGAAAUGACGGUACCUGAGUAAGAAGCACCGGCUAAAUACGUGCCAGCAGCCGCGGUAAUACGUAGGGUGCAAGCGUUAUCCGGAUUUACUGGGGGUAAAGGGAGCGCAGGCGGCACGGCAAGCCUGAUGUGAAAGCCCGCGGCCCAACCGCGGGACUGCAUUGGGAACUACCGGGCUGGAGUGCCGGAGAGGUAGGCGGAAUUCCUAGUGUAGCGGUGAAAUGCGUAGAUAUUAGGAGGAACACCAGUGGCGAAGGCGGCCUACUGGACGGUGACUGACGCUGAGGCUCGAAAGCGUGGGGAGCAAACAGGAUUAGAUACCCCAGUAGUC
RNAcentral lists this ribosomal RNA (442 nucleotides) under uncultured bacterium. RNAcentral's name for it is "partial 16S ribosomal RNA". It matches the Rfam family "Bacterial small subunit ribosomal RNA", at positions 338 to 795 of the family's 1533-position model. The record is from RNAcentral.